AAUGAACGCUGGCGGCAGGCCUAACACAUGCAAGUCGAACGGAUCCUUCGGGAUUAGUGGCGGACGGGUGAGUAACGCGUGGGAACAUACCCUUUGGUACGGAAUAGCCUCGGGAAACUGGGAGUAAUACCGUAUGUGGUCGAGAGACGAAAGAGUUAUCGCCAAAGGAUUGGCCCGCGUUGGAUUAGGUAGUGGGUGGGGUAAUGGCCUACCAAGCCGACGAUCCAUAGCUGGGUUGAGAGGAUGAUGAGCCACACUGGGACUGAGACACGGCCCAGACUCCUACGGAAGGUGGCAGUGGGGAAUCUAAGACAAGGGGGGAAACCCUGAUCUAGCCAUGCCGCGUGAUCGAUGAAGGACUUAGGGUUGUAAAGAUCUUUCAGGUGGGAAGAUAAUGACUGUACCACCAGAAGAAGCCCCGGCUAACUCCGUGCCAGCAGCCGCAGUAA
Molecule: ribosomal RNA, 449 nt
Filed under: uncultured bacterium
Lineage: Bacteria
Description: partial 16S ribosomal RNA
Rfam family: Bacterial small subunit ribosomal RNA
Source: RNAcentral